AAAUAACAUCUAUAACAAUUAGUUUUCCAUAGAUCAUUUCUUCUUUUUUUCAUAAUUUUGCGUUCCCUUACUUUCUGGCUCUGAACUUUGCUUCUACAAUGCCAAGGGAUUCCAGCCACCACAUGCAUACAGCCAAGACAUUUUAGUGUGAGUUAGAUACUCAGGCAUACACAACCUGUAACCCACAUGCUACGUGUAUCCCAACUCAACUUGCACCCCCUACAGCUGUAUCUAUCAUGGCAGCAGCUCUACCCUGAUGAGUGGCCAGGCCUAGCCCGGAGUCACAGCAAGGUUUGCAGAGCAGCACUGACAAAUAAAGCAACAGAACUGAGAAAAGGCUGUCACCUUAAGGAAAUAUUUUAAACUAAGUCACAUAGCAAAAGAAUGUCAUGACAGUGCUUUCUAAUGGGAUAUAAGCGCCAUAGCAGGUAACCAUACAAGACCAUAUGACCAUACCUAACAGGUAACCAUACAUAACCUACAAGAACCAUAGCAGCAGGUAAUGAAGAAAAAUUAGCUCACCCCUUCCAGAAACUAGUAACAACUCAAAAGAAGAGCAAACUCAGAGAGAUACUGCUCCCUCUGCUGCUAACACUUAAAUAAAAGCACCUUUUCCAAUCAUUGCUUGCACCUGAGCUCCCUGGGAUAGCAUUGACCUCUCAACUAAUGUUCAAUCAUUGGUUCAGGCUGUGAAGGGAUGGAGUGCAGCAGAGUUGCUAGGUCACAGCCUGAACCAAAGAUUGAGUAGGUCAGGGGUAAACUCCUGCUGUUUUGGAAACAUGAAGUACAACGUGUAUCGUGAUGCCGGUACAGUACCUAUCAAUGAUGUGAUUGACAGGUGAUUGUUGCAAGGUGAUUGUUGACAGUCUUCUUAUGGUUGUGUUGGAACAGUACUUGAUGUUGCUUCUGGAGGCUUAUCUUCUUCAGUUCAGGUUUGGGUUCACUGGUUCCCAGAACUUCAGCACUCCACCACCUGGUGUCAUGACAUACCCUCACAGACACUGAAGCACGCUGAAGUGUUGAUGCUCCUACCAGUGGUCCUGUGGACUUCACAGCCUCAAGGGGAGUAGUACAGAUGUUUACAAGUGAAUUCCACCAGAGUGGGACUCAUGGUGGCUAUACAAGCCAGUAAAAAAGGCGUUGCAGUUUCUUGUCACAGGCUACAGCUUUCUAAUAUGCCAGCAACACAUGGCUCUGAGCUUGCUUAGGCCUGCCUGGAGACUUAUUUGAGCUUCUUUAGCUGUUGACAGCAAUUGUCUAAUCACCAAGCCAAUAGUACUUGCUUUUUCUUUACCUGGCUUGAAACAAGCUCAUGCUCUGACACCUAAUGUAUAAUUGCAGCUAUUGGAUAUUGUCCUGCUAUGUGUACCUGCCGAGGUGCAUUUAAGAA
Tympanuchus pallidicinctus (lesser prairie-chicken) is the source of this 1390-nucleotide long non-coding RNA. RefSeq lists it as uncharacterized. Lineage: Eukaryota; Metazoa; Chordata; Aves; Galliformes; Phasianidae. The transcript is spliced from 4 exons. The record is from RefSeq and is a predicted model, not a curated record.